Molecule: ribosomal RNA, 773 nt
Filed under: uncultured Neocallimastigales
Lineage: Eukaryota; Fungi; Neocallimastigomycota; Neocallimastigomycetes; Neocallimastigales
Description: partial large subunit ribosomal RNA
Rfam family: Eukaryotic large subunit ribosomal RNA
Source: RNAcentral
CGUCUAUAUACGUAUAGCAUAUCAAUAAGCGGAGGAAAAGAAACUAACUAGGAUUCCCUCAGUAACGGCGAGUGAAGCGGGAAGAGCUCAAAUUUGAAAUCUUCAAGGUUCUACCUUGACGAAUUGUAGUUUAAAGAAGUGUUUUCUGUUGGAGUUUUGGUAAAAGUUCUUUGGAAUAGGACAUCAUAGAGGGUGAGAAUCCCGUAUUUGACCAUUAUUUCCAACUUUGUGAUACACUUUCAAAGAGUCGGAUUGUUUGGGAAUGCAGUCCAAAAUGGGUGGUAAAUUUCAUCUAAAGCUAAAUACUGGCGAGAGACCGAUAGCGAACAAGUACCGUGAGGGAAAGAUGAAAAGAACUUUGAAAAGAGAGUUAAACAGUACGUGAAAUUGUCAAAAGGGAAGCGUUUGACACCAGUGUUGUUUUCUCGAAAAUCAAUUAAAAAUGGCGGGAUUUUGUGUUGUAUUGACUUUAUCAGCUUUCUGCACUUUUUUCCUAUCUUUUUUAAUGCACUUUUCGUUUAACAAGUCAACAUCAAUUUCUUUUGUUGUAAAAGAGUCAUUGGAAGGUGGCUUUCUUUUCGGAGAAAGUGUUUAUAGCCUUUGACUUCUGCAGUCGGAGAGAUUGAGGUCUGCAGCGUAGAUCCUUCGGGGUUAGAUACAUUUGUGCUAAGUUAUAGCCUUUCAUAGACAACUUGUUGACUAUGAUCAGUCAUGUAGCUUACUCGCUUAUGUUAUUUUACCUACGCUUAGGAUGUUGACGAUCAGCGAGCGCG